UACGGAGGGUGCGAGCGUUGAUCGGAAUUACUGGGCGUAAAGGGCGCGUAGGCGGCGGGUUAAGUCUGCCGUGAAAUCCCCGGGCUCAACCUGGGAAUGGCGGUGGAAACGGGCUGACUGGAGUAUGGGAGAGGGUGAUGGAAUUCCAGGUGUAGCGGUGAAAUGCGUAGAGAUCUGGAGGAACACCAGUGGCGAAGGCGGUCACCUGGCCCAAUACUGACGCUGAGGCGCGAAAGCGUGGGGAGCAAACAGG
Molecule: ribosomal RNA, 253 nt
Filed under: uncultured bacterium
Lineage: Bacteria
Description: partial 16S ribosomal RNA
Rfam family: Bacterial small subunit ribosomal RNA
Source: RNAcentral